AUACCUUUCUCGGCCUUUUGGCUAAGAUCAAGUGUAGUAUCUGUUCUUAUCAGUUUAAUAUCUGAUACGUGGGCCAUCGGUCCACAUGAUAUUAAAUUUAAUCUUUUCAGGGGGAGAGUCCAUCACAGUAGCUUGCUACUGGGUCUCUCGCGCGUCGCCUUGGCGUUGCACUACUGCCUCGGCCUGGCGCACCCCAC
This 197-nucleotide small nuclear RNA is filed under the name Eucalyptus grandis. Its description in RNAcentral is "U2 spliceosomal RNA". It matches the Rfam family "U2 spliceosomal RNA". Rfam says of the family: U2 is a small nuclear RNA (snRNA) component of the spliceosome (involved in pre-mRNA splicing). Complementary binding between U2 snRNA (in an area lying towards the 5' end but 3' to hairpin I) and the branchpoint sequence (BPS) of the intron results the bulging out of an unpaired adenosine, on the BPS, which initiates a nucleophilic attack at the intronic 5' splice site, thus starting the first of two transesterification reactions that mediate splicing. Lineage: Eukaryota; Viridiplantae; Streptophyta; Magnoliopsida; Myrtales; Myrtaceae. The record is from Rfam by way of RNAcentral.